This 366-nucleotide ribosomal RNA is filed under the name Dialister invisus. RNAcentral describes it as "bacterial SSU rRNA". It matches the Rfam family "Bacterial small subunit ribosomal RNA", at positions 28 to 368 of the family's 1533-position model. The record is from RNAcentral. Lineage: Bacteria; Bacillati; Bacillota; Negativicutes; Veillonellales; Veillonellaceae.
GACGAACGCUGGCGGCGUGCUCAACACAUGCAAGUCGAACGAAAAGACGGAAAGAGCUUGCUCUUUUCAGAAUUGAGUGGCAAACGGGUGAGUAACACGUAAACAACCUGCCUUCAGGAUGGGGACAACAGACGGAAACGACUGCUAAUACCGAAUAAGUUCCAAGAGCCGCAUGGCCCAUGGAAGAAAAGGUGGCCUCUACCUGUAAGCUAUCGCCUGAAGAGGGGUUUGCGUCUGAUUAGCUGGUUGGAGGGGUAACGGCCCACCAAGGCGACGAUCAGUAGCCGGUCUGAGAGGAUGAACGGCCACACUGGAACUGAGACACGGUCCAGACUCCUACGGGAGGCAGCAGUGGGGAAUUUCGCA